RNAcentral lists this transfer RNA (1106 nucleotides) under Anas platyrhynchos platyrhynchos (common mallard). RNAcentral describes it as "lncRNA (ENSAPLG00000018011.1)". Lineage: Eukaryota; Metazoa; Chordata; Aves; Anseriformes; Anatidae. The record is from RNAcentral.
UCGGGCACAGCCCCCUGCUGCCUCCCUCCUCAUCCUGCACCGCAGACCUGUGCUGCCCUGUGCCACCGGGACUAAAGGGACAGGGCACAGCCAGGGCUGUACUGGGACAAGGACAGCAGGCUGCAGGCUGUGAGGCAGGAAAAGGCUGGAGAUGCUGGGGCUUGAACCCAGGGCCUCUUACAUGCGAAGCAAGCGCUCUCCCACUGAGCUACAUCCCCUAGACAGUGCCCACCAGGGUCCUACCUGCUGCACUGGCAGCGGCUGAGCCUGGCCACAGGCGGCUGUGCUGCCCCACAAAGCCUCCAGCCCCAGCAUGGGGUGCCGCUUGCAGGCUACUGGGGGAUGCCAGGGCCCCCCUGCUCCUGCAGCACUGCCUGGGGGGACAAGGGCCCAGAGCCAGCCCCCCUGCGUCUGCCCCCUGCCCGCAGCAGCUGGGCUCGUCCCAAAAGGGGGGCUCGUCCGGGAGUUGAACCCGGGACCUCUCGCACCCGAAGCGAGAAUCAUACCCCUAGACCAACGAGCCGCGCUCAUGGGGCCCUCUGCACCCUCUGCCCUCGUGCCCCACAGCUCUCACUCCUGCUGGGGCAGCUCCAGCUCCACCAUUUGCCCCACUGCUGCUGCCACGCACAGGGCCACCCGUGCUUGGUGCCCUGUGACAGCCCCAGGCCCUGCAGCCCCCAAGGGCUGCCCUGUCCUGCCUGGGGAGGAAAAGGCUGGAGAUGCUGGGGCUUGAACCCAGGGCCUCUUGCAUGCAAAGCAAGCGCUCUACCGCUGAGCUACAUCCCCACACUCAUGGGGGCCUUUCUGGGGGUUCUGCUUUUAACAAAGCCUUCCUCCUGCCUCCUCCUCAGCCCACACCACUCCCCAACACAUCAGCACACCUCCCCUGCUCUUCCACAACACACCUGCCUCACAAAUCACACCUGCAGCACCACACACUCACCCCUGCCUACUCAACAUGCCCUCAACAGCCCUCCUCCCCCUGGACACGCACCCACCCCAAAACCAAACGCUCUCCCCUCACAGCGGACACUGCCCUGGCCCUGCUCCCCAGUGCAAUCCCAGUUCGUCCCCCCAUGCUCUCUGGGCCAGGGAUCCAGAAAAGA